This 745-nucleotide ribosomal RNA is filed under the name uncultured bacterium. Its description in RNAcentral is "bacterial SSU rRNA". It matches the Rfam family "Bacterial small subunit ribosomal RNA", at positions 33 to 773 of the family's 1533-position model. The record is from RNAcentral.
ACGCUGGCGGCAGGCCUAACACAUGCAAGUCGAGCGGUAGAGAGAAGCUUGCUUCUCUUGAGAGCGGCGGACGGGUGAGUAAUGCCUAGGAAUCUGCCUGGUAGUGGGGGAUAACGUUCGGAAACGGACGCUAAUACCGCAUACGUCCUACGGGAGAAAGCAGGGGACCUUCGGGCCUUGCGCUAUCAGAUGAGCCUAGGUCGGAUUAGCUAGUUGGUGGGGUAAUGGCUCACCAAGGCGACGAUCCGUAACUGGUCUGAGAGGAUGAUCAGUCACACUGGAACUGAGACACGGUCCAGACUCCUACGGGAGGCAGCAGUGGAGAAUAUUGGACAAUGGGCGAAAGCCUGAUCCAGCCAUGCCGCGUGUGUGAAGAAGGUCUUCGGAUUGUAAAGCACUUUAAGUUGGGAGGAAGGGCAGUUGCCUAAUACGUAACUGUUUUGACGUUACCGACAGAAUAAGCACCGGCUAACUCUGUGCCAGCAGCCGCGGUAAUACAGAGGGUGCAAGCGUUAAUCGGAAUUACUGGGCGUAAAGCGCGCGUAGGUGGUUUGUUAAGUUGGAUGUGAAAUCCCCGGGCUCAACCUGGGAACUGCAUUCAAAACUGACUGACUAGAGUAUGGUAGAGGGUGGUGGAAUUUCCUGUGUAGCGGUGAAAUGCGUAGAUAUAGGAAGGAACACCAGUGGCGAAGGCGACCACCUGGACUGAUACUGACACUGAGGUGCGAAAGCGUGGGGAGCAAAC